ACUCCUACGGGAGGCAGCAGUGGGGAAUAUUGGGCAAUGGGCGCAAGCCUGACCCAGCAACGCCGCGUGAGGGAAGAAGGCUUUCGGGUUGUAAACCUCUGUCCUUGGUGACGAAAAAAAUGACGGUAGCCAAGGAGGAAGCCCCGGCUAACUACGUGCCAGCAGCCGCGGUAAUACGUAGGGGGCGAGCGUUGUCCGGAAUUACUGGGCGUAAAGGGUGCGUAGGUGGCCUUUUAAGUUGGAUGUGAAAUCCCCGAGCUUAACUUGGGUGGUGCAUCUAAUACUGGAGGGCUAGAGUGCAGGAGAGGGAAGCGGAAUUCCUAGUGUAGCGGUGAAAUGCGUAGAUAUUAGGAGGAACACCAGUGGCGAAGGCGGCUUUCUGGACUGUAACUGACACUGAGGCACGAAAGCGUGGGGAGCAAACAGGAUUAGAUACCCUGGUAGUC
RNAcentral lists this ribosomal RNA (446 nucleotides) under uncultured bacterium. Its description in RNAcentral is "bacterial SSU rRNA". It matches the Rfam family "Bacterial small subunit ribosomal RNA", at positions 335 to 795 of the family's 1533-position model. The record is from RNAcentral.